AGUGAACGCUGGCGGUAGGCCUAACACAUGCAAGUCGAACGGCAGCACAGUAAGAGCUUGCUCUUACGGGUGGCGAGUGGCGGACGGGUGAGGAAUACAUCGGAAUCUACUUUUUCGUGGGGGAUAACGUAGGGAAACUUACGCUAAUACCGCAUACGACCUACGGGUGAAAGCAGGGGAUCUUCGGACCUUUCGCGAUUGAAUGAGCCGAUGUCGGAUUAGCUAGUUGGCGGGGUAAAGGCCCACCAAGGCGACGAUCCGUAGCUGGUCUGAGAGGAUGAUCAGCCACACUGGAACUGAGGCACGGUCCAGACUCCUACGGGAGGCAGCAGUGGGGAAUAUUGGACAAUGGGCGCAAGCCUGAUCCAGCCAUACCGCGUGAGUGAAGAAGGCCUUCGGGUUGUAAAGCCCUUUUGUUGGGAAAGAAAAGCAGCAGGUUAAUACCCCGCUGUUCUGACGGUACCCAAAGAAUAAGCACCGGCUAACUUCGUG
This 492-nucleotide ribosomal RNA is filed under the name uncultured bacterium. RNAcentral describes it as "partial 16S ribosomal RNA". It matches the Rfam family "Bacterial small subunit ribosomal RNA", at positions 29 to 507 of the family's 1533-position model. The record is from RNAcentral.